Long non-coding RNA from Perca fluviatilis (European perch), 969 nucleotides. RefSeq lists it as uncharacterized. The record is from RefSeq and is a predicted model, not a curated record. Lineage: Eukaryota; Metazoa; Chordata; Actinopteri; Perciformes; Percidae. The transcript is spliced from 6 exons.
CAGACUUGGAAAGGAGGACUGGGUUAACAUAAAGUGGAAGCCUGGGAAGAUAACCCACACCUUUCAGGAAGAUGUAACCAGUUGUGGGGUCUUUGUCAUGCAGAUGGCCAAGAUGACAGUGAUGGAGUUUCCAAAGAUGCCACAGUCGUUUCAGAUUGACUCAUCCAAAGAGUCUCUUAAAAAUCAAAGAAGACUCAUGGCAGAAGAAAUUCUCAUGGCAUCAGUUUCAAAGGAUGAGUUCUGCUCCUUCUGUGGAAAUAAGAACCUGCCUGCUGGAGAUGAUGUUUGGAUUCAGUGUGGAAAUUGCACAAGAUGGUUUCACACGCAGUGCCUAGGAAUGACUGCAGCACAAAUACCAAACAAAAAUUCCCCUUGGGAUUGUGUGUUGUGUAUCAGCCCUAGCUAAAGAGGCUGUAGCAUCUUCAUGCCCUCUCAAGCCACAUUUUUGUGGUUGAUCCUCUGCAAGUGCCAAAUGAAGUUGAGGACUCCAGAAAGGCUGGCCACAGAUUUGAACAGUACUUCAAGAUGCACCGGAAAAGACUGGGUUAACAUCAAGUGGAAGCCUGGCAAGAUAACCCACACAUACAUGCUUUUUUUUUUUUUACACUUUAAGUAAUUGUGUUAGUACAACCACCUUUCCUGUAGUAUUUACAAAAAUAUUUCUAUAUGUAGUUUGAAGACAUUUCUUGAGAUAAAUACCCACAAAAAGUAUGUGUCUUUUUGAAAAGUAAUAGUUAUAGUUCAACCAUUUUGAGCACUUACAGUGAAAAAAGUAUGGAAACAAUUAUUUUGAAUGAUUAAAGUAUUACAUGUUUUAAGCAAUAAAAAAUGUGCCAAAAAUAGGAUUAUAGUUAUUUUUUUAAAGUGACUGCUGUAGUACAACCAGGAAGGGGCCUUCUAUGUGCUACUACAGAAAUCAGAAUGCGAAAAGUCCCUUUCAUUGAUUUUUGGUGAAUAUUUUAAACUUGU